GACCUGGGUUCAAAUCCCAUCUCCACUGGGAUCCACACUUUCUCCAUGUUUAAAAUGGGGGAACCCCUAUACCGCAGGGAGAUUCAACAGGGUUGGAACAGAACAUAAUGAAACACAUGCAUCAGCAGAAUGCAUUCAACCCCCUGAGCUAUUUGUACCAUCCAUGACAUCACACACCUGGGCUAAGCCUAGCAACAGAAGCAGGGAGCUUGAGUUCCAUCCUUGCCCUUAGUGGGGCUUCUCCUGACCCCCCCAUGUCCUUGCCCUUAGUGGGGCUUCUCCUGACCCUCCACCCCCGGCAUCAUUCUCUGGCACCUCCUUUACACGACUUUUCAUUCCAGAUGGCAGGUAUCCAUGUGUGUACCCCACACCACACCAGACCCUCAGCACCCGUAACUGAUCUCCGAGUUCUUGGUCUACUUGCUGGCCUGGGGAAGCACCUCCACCAAGUGGGCGGAGGGGGCAGCUGUUCCCGCCGUUGGAUAAAUUAGAAAACUAAGGCAUGGAGAGGCAAAGUGAGUUGCCAUGGUCACGGAGUAGGAGUCUGGAUCAAUGGGCUUGAACCCCAUUCCCACCCUUGCCCCCACAGCAGUGUUUCACUGGGCUGUUCCCCGAGUGAACAAAGUGUUCUUCGCCAGAUUUCAACAAGACUCCCUCUGGAGCCUCCUUGGGUCUCUACUCAGCACUCCCCACCCCAUCACUCUCCAGUCCCUCAUCC
This 718-nucleotide long non-coding RNA is filed under the name Homo sapiens (human). RNAcentral describes it as "HSALNT0398787". Lineage: Eukaryota; Metazoa; Chordata; Mammalia; Primates; Hominidae. The record is from RNAcentral.